RNAcentral lists this ribosomal RNA (301 nucleotides) under uncultured bacterium. RNAcentral describes it as "partial 16S ribosomal RNA". It matches the Rfam family "Bacterial small subunit ribosomal RNA", at positions 509 to 807 of the family's 1533-position model. The record is from RNAcentral.
CAGCCGCCGCGGUAAUACGGAGGGGGCUAGCGUUGUUCGGAAUUACUGGGCGUAAAGCGCACGUAGGCGGCUUGGUAAGUUAGAGGUGAAAGCCUGGAGCUCAACCCCAGAAUUGCCUUUAAGACUGCCGAGCUAGCAGGUGAGAGAGGUAAGUGGAAUUCCGAGUGUAGAGGUGAAAUUCGUAGAUAUUCGGAAGAACACCAGUGGCGAAGGCGGCCAUCUGGGACAACACUGACGCUGAGGCACGAAAGCGUGGGGAGCAAACAGGAUUAGAUACCCCUGUAGUCCCUGUCUCUUAUAC